RNAcentral lists this ribosomal RNA (484 nucleotides) under uncultured bacterium. Its description in RNAcentral is "partial 16S ribosomal RNA". It matches the Rfam family "Bacterial small subunit ribosomal RNA", at positions 30 to 507 of the family's 1533-position model. The record is from RNAcentral.
AUUGAACGCUGGCGGCAGGCCUAACACAUGCAAGUCGAGCGGAUGAAGGGAGCUUGCUCCUGGAUUCAGCGGCGGACGGGUGAGUAAUGCCUAGGAAUCUGCCUGGUAGUGGGGGAUAACGUCCGGAAACGGGCGCUAAUACCGCAUACGUCCUGAGGGAGAAAGUGGGGGAUCUUCGGACCUCACGCUAUCGGAUGAGCCUAGGUCGGAGUAGCUAGUUGGUGGGGUAAAGGCCUACCAAGGCGACGAUCCGUAACUGGUCUGAGAGGAUGAUCAGGCACACUGGAACUGAGACACGGUCCAGACUCCUACGGGAGGCAGCAGUGGGGAAUAUUGGACGAUGGGCGAAAGCCUGAUCCAGCCAUGCCGCGUGUGUGAAGAAGGUCUUCGGAUUGUAAAGCACUUUAAGUUGGGAGGAAGGGCAGUACGUUAAUACCUUGCUGUUUUGACGGUACCAACAGAAUAAGCACCGGCUAACUUCGUG